This 550-nucleotide ribosomal RNA is filed under the name uncultured bacterium. Its description in RNAcentral is "bacterial SSU rRNA". It matches the Rfam family "Bacterial small subunit ribosomal RNA", at positions 355 to 896 of the family's 1533-position model. The record is from RNAcentral.
UAGGGAAUCUUCGGCAAUGGACGGAAGUCUGACCGAGCAACGCCGCGUGAGUGAAGAAGGUUUUCGGAUCGCAAAGCUCUGUUGUAAGAGAAGAACGAGUGUGAGAGUGGAAAGUUCACACUGUGACGGUAUCUUACCAGAAAGGGACGGCUAACUACGUGCCAGCAGCCGCGGUAAUACGUAGGUCCCGAGCGUUGUCCGGAUUUAUUGGGCGUAAAGCGAGCGCAGGCGGUUAGAUAAGUCUGAAGUUAAAGGCUGUGGCUUAACCAUAGUAGGCUUUGGAAACUGUUUAACUUGAGUGCAAGAGGGGAGAGUGGAAUUCCAUGUGUAGCGGUGAAAUGCGUAGAUAUAUGGAGGAACACCGGUGGCGAAAGCGGCUCUCUGGUUUGUAACUGACGCUGAGGCUCGAAAGCGUGGGGAGCAAACAGGAUUAGAUACCCUGGUAGUCCACGCUGUAAACGAUGAGUGCUAGGUGUUAGACCCUUUCCGGGGUUUAGUGCCGUAGCUAACGCAUUAAGCACUCCGCCUGGGGAGUACGACCGCAAGGUUG